AAGUCGUAACAAGGUAACCGUAGGUGAACCUGCGGUUGGAUCAUUACAAAUUCAACAGGAUAAAGUUCGCCAUGGAACCGUUCGCGCGGUUCCGUGGUGUUCCUAAUCUGACCACACCUUUGUGAACCACUGACCGUAUCUUAUGGCCACAUUUGCGUUUUCCUACGGGGGUAGUUGACUUCAACAGUGCAUGUUUGACGCGCUGCAUGAAACUCGGACUAUUGGCCUCGCUCUUAAACGGGCGAGGGCAGAACCUGGUGGCUACUCAAACAAUGAAAACACCCGUUUUUUGACAUUUUGCCUUAAAAAUCAAUCUGAAGCUCGAAAGAGCGCUAGGAUUUAAAAAUGAGAAACAACUUUAGACAACGGAUCUCUUGGCUCUC
This 383-nucleotide unclassified non-coding RNA is filed under the name fungal sp. Its description in RNAcentral is "partial internal transcribed spacer region". The stretch from base 1 to 46 matches the Rfam family "Eukaryotic small subunit ribosomal RNA", at positions 1786 to 1831 of the family's 1831-position model. Lineage: Eukaryota; Fungi. The record is from RNAcentral.